This 383-nucleotide ribosomal RNA is filed under the name uncultured eukaryote. RNAcentral describes it as "partial 18S ribosomal RNA". It matches the Rfam family "Eukaryotic small subunit ribosomal RNA", at positions 592 to 976 of the family's 1831-position model. The record is from RNAcentral.
CAAUAGCGUAUAUUAAAGUUGUUGCAGUUAAAAAGCUCGUAGUUGGAUUUCUGGUGGGAGCGAUCGGUCUGGCGCUUAGCGCGAGUACUUGCAUCGUCUCCGGCCAUCCUUGGGGAGAGUCUGCCUGGCAUUAAGUUGUCGGGCAGAGGAUCCUCAUCGUUUACUGUGAAAAAAUUAGAGUGUUCAAAGCAGGCUUAUGCCGUUGAAUAUAUUAGCAUGGAAUAAUAAGAUAGGACUUUGGUACUAUUUUGUUGGUUUGCGCACCAAAGUAAUGAUUAAUAGGGACAGUUGGGGGUAUUCGUAUUCCGUUGUCAGAGGUGAAAUUCUUGGAUUUACGGAAGACGAACUACUGCGAAAGCAUUUACCAAGGAUGUUUUCAUUAA